AUCCUCCCCAUGCCGGGAAGGGUGAGAAGCUUCGACUAAGGUUCGAUUCGAGCGCAGCGAGAAAGCGUUGCCGCAGGCAACGACCCGAAGGGCGAGGAGCAGCGCGACGAGUAAUCCUUCCCCCACCACCA
Molecule: small RNA, 131 nt
Filed under: Phytobacter diazotrophicus
Lineage: Bacteria; Pseudomonadati; Pseudomonadota; Gammaproteobacteria; Enterobacterales; Enterobacteriaceae
Also listed under: 4 other names
Description: RtT sRNA
Rfam family: RtT RNA
About the family: This family represents a bacterial cis-regulatory element known as RtT RNA.
Source: RNAcentral